Molecule: long non-coding RNA, 330 nt
Filed under: Phoenix dactylifera (date palm)
Lineage: Eukaryota; Viridiplantae; Streptophyta; Magnoliopsida; Arecales; Arecaceae
Description: long non-coding RNA (PDAC_LNC022101)
Source: RNAcentral
UUUUUUUGGGGGGGGGGGUAUUACAUACUCUCCCCCUUAAAAAAAAUUUCGUCCUCGAAAUUAACUUACUUGAAGCCUCCAACUUUAAAAAUAUGCAUCCGUUAUAUCAUCCCCGAGAUCUCAAGUAGUCUCCCUCUCGGAGUACCUACUCACAAGAUUUUGACAUACAAAAAUCACAACAUCUCAAAACUUAAUCCUUUCUAUUUACCACACGUAGUAAGUUCUUUUGGUAUCCUUCAAAAGAAUUCCAAACUCCCAAUCUUGGAUUAAAAUGCCAUAAUUAUAUCCCAAAGAAAUUAAUUUCUCUUGAUUCUACAUAGAGAUCAUAAU